Molecule: ribosomal RNA, 903 nt
Filed under: Triticum aestivum (bread wheat)
Lineage: Eukaryota; Viridiplantae; Streptophyta; Magnoliopsida; Poales; Poaceae
Description: partial small subunit ribosomal RNA
Source: RNAcentral
AUGUCACAGAAUUCCGAAGAAAUUUUUUUGAAGCAUCAUCUCAAUAUUCUACGUGUGUGUGCCAAGUUUCGCGGAAAACCGAUAAUUUUUGUGGCUUGUGUAAAAAAAAAGAUGUCUCAUGAAAAGCCCUUUUUAAACACACUGAAUUUUGCUGUUUUCACACGGGACACAAAAGUUGUCGGUUCUUUGCGAAAUGACUUUGCGAGAACGUGGAUGUCGAGAUGUGCAUGCGAAACAUUUUAUCCAAAUUUUGUGACAUGUCUUUGUCUUGGAGCUGUACAGGUGGAGAUUAAAGUGCCCGUCGGUGAACUCCGACUCAACGAAGGCCCAGCGGAGCACGGCGAUGAAGAACAUGUCCUGGUCGCGGCGGCGCAGCAACGCGACCUCGUGGUCGAAGAAGGUGAAGUCGGGGGGCGAGUGGACGAGCUUGACCGACGGCGGAGUAUUCUUGGUGCCGGCCUGGUAGACGAAGUGGCGGAUGUUCUUGGGGUACGUGUCCUGGCGCUCGGGGCAGAUGAUGAUGCAGAGCAGGGCGAGGCCGUCCUCCGUGUAGCAGACCUUGGGGAUGCUGCCGUACGCGUCGGGCUUCAGAUCUGGGCAGUGGACGGUGAAGCAGGAGACGCGCGGCGGGGCAGCCGGCCAGAAGGUGACCAGGAUGCGCUUGCCCUUCUUCUUGGUCCUGCUCCUGCGGCCAUUGGCAGUGGUGGCGUUGGUGCGGUCGCUGAGGUAGCCGAACGAGUCGAUGAGGAUGGUCUCCGGAAGAGGAGAGUCCGGAUCCUCGGGGUGGAUGGGCGGAGGGAUCGUGAGCAGCCGGAAUUCGUGGUCAUCCAUGCCCAUGGCAACCGAGGAGGUCGAUGCGGAGGUGGCGGCCGGAGGAGGAAUGGGAGUGGAAAGGAGAGAUGA